RNAcentral lists this ribosomal RNA (253 nucleotides) under uncultured bacterium. Its description in RNAcentral is "partial 16S ribosomal RNA". It matches the Rfam family "Bacterial small subunit ribosomal RNA", at positions 524 to 776 of the family's 1533-position model. The record is from RNAcentral.
UACGUAGGGUGCAAGCGUUGUCCGGAAUUAUUGGGCGUAAAGAGCUCGUAGGCGGUUUGUUGCGUCGGCUGUGAAAUCCCGGGGCUUAACCCCGGGCGUGCAGUGGAUACGGGCAGGCUGGAGGCAGGCAGGGGAGAACGGAAUUCCCGGUGUAGCGGUGAAAUGCGCAGAUAUCGGGAGGAACACCGGUGGCGAAGGCGGUUCUCUGGGCCUGUACUGACGCUGAGGAGCGAAAGCGUGGGGAGCGAACAGG